UAGACAAGGAGGAAGGGAGGGAGGUGUGUGUGUGGGGGUGGGGGUGGGGGCAGUUUUUUAAUUUUGCAGUCAGCCAGCCCCCUUAUAAUUCUGCUGGUUCCCCCAUCAGAGGGAGCAGAGAAGGGAGAGGGAGUGGCCUCUGUUGAGGUUUGGGUGAGCCAGUGGUGGGCUGUGGCAGCCGGCAGCUGGGCUCUCACUACCUAUGUCCUCCAGCUCCAGCCUGAAUUAUGAAGGCUCGGGAAUGGCAGCCAGCCUAAUUACAAUGACUGAUUGCCCGUCCGUUGGCAUUUCUCAGACGGUGAUUGUCGUGUGUGUAGGAUACGAGGGGAAGGAGGAGGGCCAUUUCUCAUUGGCCUUCCCCUUUCUUUCUUUGCAUGAGAACAGCCAGAGAUUGAGAUCUGAUUGGUUGGAGAGAAAAGAGAUGUUUCAUGAUUUGGCAAGGCAGAAAUGGUGGAACGCCAGAAACAGGUGAUGUUGCACUGAUGGCGCAUUGUAGCCUAUUCAGUCUUUGGCACAAAAGCCAUAAAAAAGAUCAAUGAAUGGGGAGAAAACACAGGGCCUGAAACAGUCAUUGCAGACCCAGGCAUGGGAUCUCCAUCUGUGCACAAAGAAGCCUCCUCUAUCUGCAUACGCUGCACAUAAAAGGGCCUUUUGUCAUGAGCUCUGCACACAUGACCGUCCGCCUUUCACCCCACUGGAAAAAAAGAUCACUCUCUCCAGCAAUCCAACCCCACCCCCAACACCAGACUCAACCCCGUCCCCCCCGACCCCCACCCUGCCAGAUUUUCGUCUGCAGAGAGAGAGAGCAAGAGAGUGAGACAGAUCCACUCUGAACUUUGUCGAAUAGAGACAACCAUCAGAUGGGGCUGCUUCCAUCACUGCUGCAGAGUCCUUUUUUUUCUCAUUUUCAUUUCCCCUUUUUUCGUGUCUGCUUUCUCUUUUUCUCUCUCCUGGUGUCCUUGUGUGCACUCACUGUGAGGCAUCAAUGCAUUAUGGCAUCUGCCAUACUGAAAUAUAAAUGUGCUCUCGUUUUUGCUGUCUCCCUUCCUUUCUGCAGUCUCUGACAUUUAAGGGGCAUUAGUGGUUGGUUUUGUGCCAGGUUAUUGCCCCCCCGUCCAUUACAGAGGCACAGGCUCAGUUGACAGCAGUCAGAGAGCUGAUGCUUCUCUCUCCCUCUCAUUUCAGUGCCUCCUGCCUUUUAACCCAUCGGCCCUAUGCUGUUUAGCAGAGCCAGAGGUAUUUGUAAUGUGUAGAGAUAAUGACAAAAAAUAGUCUGUACAUUUGAGAACCAUAUCAAGAUGAGGCGAGGUAGAAUUCUCCACUGUUGUGAGACAAAUGGGCUGCUUGCCAUUUUGGCUACUAAAGAUGACAGAUAUUGGUGUUGAGGGAUAUUGAGUCAGGGUGGGGACGGAGCAAAGACACAGAGGCAGGCUAAUACACACUGUCAAGUGCACGGGUGCUGCCACAAAAAACGCUUUCCUCAGCAUUUCCUUUGAAACACACACGGCCCUGAUGCCUUGCUCCCAGCCAAACGAGUGUGGAUUUUGGAAAGCCCUCUAGCUCAUCUUGCUGUCGCUGCACCCAGGCCUGUGGCGGAACGGAAGGAUAAGAUUGACUUCUCCCUCCACCGCCAUGUCCUCUGCAUGACCCUCUGCCUCUCUAAGCUGGUGUGAGAGGUCAGAGGCUGUCGUAUCGCAGUUCCAUGUGUGCUGUCCACACCUUUAGCCUGAUGAUGAUGAUGAUGGGCGGACCAGAGAGUGUUACACACCAUAUAGUCAGCACAGUUAAGAAUAAGCAGUGCAUAUAAUUUACACACAGGGACCCUGAAUUACAGAAAGUAAGAAUUUAGUACCAAUAAACUGUAAUGUUGUCCCCAUACUCUGCUUUAUGUGUUUGGAGCCAUAACCAUGAGGAACAGGACUGCUGUUCCCACAACAGUAUUAUAAUAAAAUGAGAAAUAAUGAUUAUAAUAAUAAUGAUAAUAGUAACAAUAAUAAUAAUACAUUUAUUUACAUGCAGUGCAGCUCAGACAGCUUUGCAUGCAAAGCAAAUCCUGGCAAAAGAAAGAUUACUUAAUAUUUAAUAUUACAUAGUUUAAAUUGCAUAUGCAUUACAAAGUAGCCCAGCAUAUCUAGUAUACCCAGUAGGUGCUAAGAGCUGUGCUGUAGAGAAAAACCUCUGUAUCAAACACACCAGUUUUAAACGCACAGGAACAGAGUAAAGAACACCUGUGUUCAGGUUCAGGUUCAGGUUUUACAGAGACAACCAUUUUGUAGAAUGUGUUUGACCUCAGAUCACCAAGCUCUUCGGUGUCUGUACUUGCUCAACGUAAUGCAGAGUUAUACAACAAGUCACUGUAUCUGCAGGAACUACUUUGUUCACUUUGAAGGCACUGGCCAGUUAUUAUGUCAAAAUGCAGAAAACACCUUCUCUGUACUGUACCAUAAAGGGUUAUAUUUACAUCACUGCCUCUUUACAGUAUGUGCUAAAAUGACCAUUUUGAUAUAUGAUACAUGCUCUAAAAUAUGAAUGACACAAAGUUAAAUACAGGGGAGAACCAAUAAAUAUGAUAAAAAUAUAUAUGGGCAAUAUACAUUUUUAGACAUCUACAGUGUUAGCACCAGAUCUGUUUUCUUUGAAAUUUGAACCAUGUCUUAAACACAUAUUAUUAUGCUCCUCUUAAAAAUAAUAUUUUACUGGAAUUGAAAGAGCCACUAAAUGUGCAGAAAUAGCCCGUGGAGUAAUAAAACCUCUGUUUAUGCAGCUGUCCUGUGAAGCACUGCUUUUCUCCCACAUAGAUAAAUAUCCUUCUGCUAAUAACAUUAUGCACAUCAAUUACGGUCUGUCACCUCAAGUGGAAUUUACCUAAUCAGUGUUUUUAUCCUUGUCACUUUCUAAUCAAUAUCAGGACUGUUUCCCCUUUUAAAGGACGGCCACUGAUUUUUUUUUUCUUUCUUUUUUUUUUUUUUUUUUUUUACUGUGCAGAAAGUUAGAGGCAAUUAUCAAGCUCAUUAAAUGGCAUUGCUGAAGUGGGAAUUGGAUGAGUAUCUACAAUAUUUCCCGCCUCACUUGUUGUCUUUGAUCAAAGCUAUUUUGUGACUGAGCUAACUUUACUGUGGUAAUUAAAGGAGAGAAACUGCUGCUGUGAAGUGAUUCAGGGGCUGAAGUGCUCAGUGAUUCUGUGUUGGAGAAGGCACCAGAAGGAGAGCAUGUUUAUGAAAUGGAUAAGGUGUACUAGGUGCAUGUUUUGCUGUUCUCAGCAGAGCAAGGAUGCUAGAGAGAUUGUGUAAGAUAACAAACAGCACGCAUAAAGUGUUUGUCAAGGCAGUGAACUGCUGAGUGCGUAUGGCUCAACUGCUGGACUCCAUGCAGCCCUGUGGCACAGACACAGGCGUUUUGACGUGGCCCCUAAAAUGCCAGUCCUGUGCACUCCUGGCUUAAUGUUGAGGGAGAGUAAAAUGAAAUGACCAUGACUGUUUAAAGUAGGUAUUAGCAGCCCUCAGGGGAAAACUGCAAAGGGAAAGUUCAGGUAUGUACCAGCCCUGCACAGGCUGGUCAAGUGGACAGAAAAGGAGAAUUUUCUUUUUUUAUUAUAACGCGUCAUUGACUUCUGAGAAUUUGUCCCAGUACUUCAGUUAGUGCCUUAGGUAAGUUUACUCACACCACUGUUUACUCAACAACACAUAAUAUCUAUUAUACAAGAUUUUUAUUACAUUGAAAUGUCUCUUAAAAUUACCAUAAUAUCUUGGGUAAUACAAUUAAUAAACAGUCACUUUAUUAAGAGGAGUUUCUUUAAUUAUUAUGAGGAAAAAAUAUAAUUUAUAACAUUAGAUGAUCCUGCACCAUAACUCAUUUCUUUUCAUACAUUAAUAACACACUUUUGCUACAACACUUCUGCUAUAAUACUGAAUAUAAAAACCAAAAAUCUACAGACAUUGAUGGUAGGUUUAAAUCAAUAAGCCGUGUUGUACCAGUGUUUGAUUUUGGUCUUGCAAGAUCACAGGACUAAUAAAAGUAUCUGGGAACAUUUACAUAAUACAUAAUAAUGUUUGAUUAAAAAAAAAAACAAAUCUGUGCUGACCAUAAGUAUUGUCCUUAUUUUUAUAUAAGCAGGCUCAAGGUAUGAAAAUCACUCUGUAUCACCUUAACAUGUUUAAAGUUUGAUGAGCAAAAUGAAAGGAUCAUAGAGCCCAGUUCUCUAUCUCAAACAUAAAGGAAAAAUACAUUAAUUUACUUUUAAUGCAUUGCUAUCAACAUUUUAAUGCCAUCAUUGAUACUGUAGUUAGAUGUGGAUUUCUUGUCUUAGCUGCCCUAGUUCAAUGCUGCCAUACGCAAGCUGCCCUGAUCCAGGACAAUAUGUUUGGCUGUUGAGGGGCUGCCAGAAGUAGUUGUUAGUUACAGUUAGGGCGCGUCCCUCUUUGGAUAGGUUGUCCACUCUGAGGUCUGAUAUCGAAUAGGUCCAUAAUUUCCAGCUUGUUCCCAGGAGAAGCUCUCCUUUGCCCCUUUUCUCCCUGUGUCUCUUUUCUUCUUCUUCUUCUUCUUCUCUCAGAAUCCUGUGAGAAACAGCAAGAGAUGUGGAUCAAAUCAGGAAGAGCUGCUGAAAUUUGGAUCCCGACCGGACAAUUGCCAUCUUUGCUCUGAUAUAUUGGCAGUGAGAUGGGUUUUGACUUCAGCCACAGGCACAAACAAUUUGGCCAACAAGUGAAAUCACGGACAGACAGACUGGCGAUCGCAGCAGCAUUAUUUUCCCUCUUGGGGAUUUUCAGAUGGAGGCUACCUGACAUGCUGCUGAAACUGUGAUGGAGGAAGGAGGCAAUAGGCCAGUGUCGACCCCCCCCCUUCGCUGCGUGUUACAGAGCAGGUGAGAAACAUUAACAGAGGCAGCAGCAGCUGCGGCCCUCUGCUGCGCACAUGUGGGCCAGGAUAUGAGCUAGCUUGAGCUCGCCCACUCUCAACACUGGUCACUAAUGUUAACACUCUCCUCUCUGAAGCACAGGAAACAGUGCGAAGGAAAAAGAGGAAACAUAGUGGAAUCAGCACAGACACAAAACAUACAAAAUAAAACCCAUUUUCUUUUUUACAGUUCACUGUAUGUUGUCAUCAGUAAUGCCUAGCAUUGGAGUAGUGAUUCCCAAAAUCUUUGGCUGGUGACCAAAGCCAUUUCUACUCACAACCUAAUGGCAAAGGUUGAAUAUGGGUUGUACAUGUUAUCUGAUUUAGAAGAAGUUAAAUUAAACAAACUGUGUGUCUUUAAUCACAGUUUGUUUCAUUUAAAUAAUUUUUAGAGGUGUGAAAAGGCAAAACUUUCAAGUAUUUAACAACAAAAAAAGCCAAAAUUAGAGGAAAGUAAAACCAACAAAUAAAUAAAGAAACAAAGAGAAUUUGCAGAAAUAUUAUAUAAUAUCAUUUUAAUCAAUACUUGACUUCUUGUGAGGUCCAAACUCUCAGACUGGGAACCAAUACUGUUGAGUUAUAAAAACAUUAUUUUCCACCAUUUACUGAAUGAAGACCAAAGUAUGGUCUGGGCUUUUUAAAUAACAAUGAAUAGAGCAUUGCAUUUUAAUAGUUAUAAGGUUCAACCAUUUUCAGUAAAAUCCUCAACAUUAAUGUCACAGUAGCCUUUAAGUUAUAUACUGGUUGUAUUUGAAUAUGGAAAAUAUCUUGGCUAUCCAAUUUGUUUGGGACAUAUGCACUUUGUUGGAUCAUUUGAAUUCCCCUUCAGCCCGAGCCAUGAACUGGAUGACCCAGCCGUCACAUUGUGUUCUGAGCACACAGAUUCCAGUCACACCGGUGAGGUGUCCCAGAGGAGAGUGACAAGUGUAUUUGUGUUUCUGUGAAUCAUAACCGCUGUUUUGUAUUCAGUGAGGUGUGCUAAAGCAGAUUACCUGCAUGAACGCGGACCUGAAAGGACUUUGUUUUUAAAGACUGUCCUUUGGGGUGAGGUAGUAGGUUGUAUAGUUUUAGGGUCAUACCCUUCCUGUCAGAUAACUAUACAACUUACUGUCUUUCCUGAAGUGGCUGUAAUGUCUUCAGAUGCCAUUGUUGGAGCUUUUGGAUCUGGAUCAACACUGGAAUGUGCCAUGUUUAUCCACUGACUACUAAGAGCAUAACUCAGCUGUAGCAUCUGACAGUGGUAGGUCACUUAGGAUUACAGUGAUUUUAGGUAGGUUUCCAUCUUGUGAUUUUCAUGGCUGUACAUUAAGACUUUAUGGUCAAUAAAAAACAUUUUUAUCAUAAGUAUUGUUAUGUCUUGCUGGUUCUGCUUGUGCCAAACAACAAUCAACACAUCAUAUCUCAUCAGAAACUGACUAUUGUGUUAGGUUUUACUCAAACCUGUUCUCAUCUAAUUGUCACCCCUUUUCCUUCUACAGCCUUGUACAAUAUUUGUCAAAGCUCUGUGGCUCUUUUCCUCAAACAAUUUGAUUCAGAAUGCUUGUAUUGUUAAUGUUUUCAAAUGUAUGACGAUUUGCUAUAAUACAAUAUAGUGUUUAUAUGUCAAUCUACCAUUAUGCAAGUCACACCAAAGCUUGCCAACCUGUAGGACCUUUUCUGAUGUUCGUACGGGGUGAGGUAGUAGGUUGUGUGGUUUCAGGGUAGUGAUUUUGCCCAAUCAGGAGAUAACUAUACAACCUACUGCCUUCCCUGAAGGGCAGCAAUACUUCACCAUGCAGACAUCAAAAAAUUCCCAGGAUCAAUGCAGCAAACCAGGUCGACUUUCCAGGCCCCGAGUCAUCAAGUCAUCUUUUACCUGGGCCGUAGGCAUCCAUAUCCAGUCAUAGCAGCAGAAGGGACCAGCAGGUAAAGUCUGUUCACUGUGGAAUUUGUGUUUGAUUUAUAUUUUCUGCUGCAAAAAAAUAAAAAUAAAAAUAUGACAAUGAA
Molecule: long non-coding RNA, 6879 nt
Organism: Lates calcarifer (barramundi perch)
Lineage: Eukaryota; Metazoa; Chordata; Actinopteri; Centropomidae
Exons: 6
Source: RefSeq, a predicted model, not a curated record